This is a long non-coding RNA of Brienomyrus brachyistius, 263 nucleotides long. RefSeq lists it as uncharacterized. NCBI's taxonomy places the organism in Eukaryota, Metazoa, Chordata, Actinopteri, Osteoglossiformes, Mormyridae. The record is from RefSeq and is a predicted model, not a curated record. The transcript has 3 exons.
UGGUGAAACACUCCAUGCAGUUCCCAGUCCACAAGACUGAAAAAAAAAGAUAAAUGCAGCAGUCUUCUGUGAAGCAAGAAGAAAAUUGUUGCACAGAAGAAUAUAACCUUUCUGCUGACACCCUCUUGAGAGAUGUGAGGGAAAAGGAAGCCAUAGUCCAUUAUGGGGCAUGGUGAAGGCAGAGAAAAAAUAGACAAUCUACAGACGGCUCCAAGUAACAAAGGGUUCAUUAACAAAAAACUGGAAAUAGCAAGGGAGAAACC